UAACGCGUGGAUAACCUGCCGUAUACCGGGGGAUAACACUUAGAAAUAGGUGCUAAUACCGCAUGAGCGCACAGCUCCGCAUGGAGCGGUGUGAAAAACUCCGGUGGUAUACGAUGGAUCCGCGUCUGAUUAGCCAGUUGGCGGGGUAACGGCCCACCAAAGCGACGAUCAGUAGCCGGCCUGAGAGGGUGAACGGCCACAUUGGGACUGAGACACGGCCCAGACUCCUACGGGAGGCAGCAGUGGGGAAUAUUGCACAAUGGGGGAAACCCUGAUGCAGCGACGCCGCGUGAGUGAAGAAGUAUCUCGGUAUGUAAAGCUCUAUCAGCAGGAAAGAUAAUGACGGUACCUGACUAAGAAGCCCCGGCUAACUACGUGCCAGCAGCCGCGGUAAUACGUAGGGGGCAAGCGUUAUCCGGAUUUACUGGGUGUAAAGGGAGCGUAGACGGCAGCGCAAGUCUGGAGUGAAAUGCCGGGGCCCAACCCCGGAACUGCUUUGGAAACUGUGCGGCUCGAGUGCGGGAGAGGUAGGCGGAAUUCCUAGUGUAGCGGUGAAAUGCGUAGAUAUUAGGAGGAACACCAGUGGCGAAGGCGGCUUACUGGACCGUAACUGACGUUGAGGCUCGAAAGCGUGNGGAGCAAACAGGAUUAGAUACCCUGGUAGU
Molecule: ribosomal RNA, 665 nt
Filed under: uncultured bacterium
Lineage: Bacteria
Description: bacterial SSU rRNA
Rfam family: Bacterial small subunit ribosomal RNA
Source: RNAcentral